Molecule: transfer RNA, 73 nt
Filed under: Bos taurus (domestic cattle)
Lineage: Eukaryota; Metazoa; Chordata; Mammalia; Artiodactyla; Bovidae
Rfam family: tRNA
About the family: Transfer RNA (tRNA) molecules are approximately 80 nucleotides in length. Their secondary structure includes four short double-helical elements and three loops (D, anti-codon, and T loops). Further hydrogen bonds mediate the characteristic L-shaped molecular structure. tRNAs have two regions of fundamental functional importance: the anti-codon, which is responsible for specific mRNA codon recognition, and the 3' end, to which the tRNAs corresponding amino acid is attached (by aminoacyl-tRNA synthetases). tRNAs cope with the degeneracy of the genetic code in two manners: having more than one tRNA (with a specific anti-codon) for a particular amino acid; and 'wobble' base-pairing, i.e. permitting non-standard base-pairing at the 3rd anti-codon position.
Source: Rfam by way of RNAcentral
UCCCUGGUGGCCCAGUGGCUGAGACUUUGUGUUCCCAACACAGGGGGCCCAGGUUCGAUCCCUGGUCAGGGAA